RNAcentral lists this ribosomal RNA (391 nucleotides) under Chaetoceros sp. RNAcentral describes it as "partial small subunit ribosomal RNA". It matches the Rfam family "Eukaryotic small subunit ribosomal RNA", at positions 582 to 975 of the family's 1831-position model. The record is from RNAcentral. Lineage: Eukaryota; Bacillariophyta; Thalassiosirophyceae; Chaetocerotales; Chaetocerotaceae.
AUUCCAGCUUCAGUAGCGUAUAUUAAAGUUGUUGCAGUUAAAAAGCUCGUAGUCGCAUUUCUGGCGAGAGGAAUUGGUCCGACAUUUAUUGUGGGUACUCGAUUCUCUCUCGCCAUCCUUGAGUGGUCCGUUCUGGCAUUUAGUUGUCGGAGCGUCAGCCGCUCAUCGUUUACUGUGAGAAAAUUAGAGUGUUCAAAGCAGGCUUAUGCCGUUGAAUAUAUUAGCAUGGAAUAAUAAGAUAGGACCUCGGUGCUAUUUUGUUGGUUUGCGCACAGAGGUAAUGAUGAACAGGGACAGUUGGGGGUAUUUGUAUUUCGUUGUCAGAGGUGAAAUUCUUAGAUUUACGAAAGACAAACUACUGCGAAAGCAUUUACCAAGGAUGUUUUCAUUG